This is a small nucleolar RNA of Elaeis guineensis (African oil palm), 125 nucleotides long. The record is from RefSeq and is a predicted model, not a curated record. Lineage: Eukaryota; Viridiplantae; Streptophyta; Magnoliopsida; Arecales; Arecaceae.
CAGCAAAGUCAUCAAAUUGAAAUGGCGAAUACUUUGGGUAAAUGUUGGCAAUAAUAGUUAUGCCACUUUCUGUCCCUCUCAAAUUUUUGUCUGUUUGAAGAUGGCCUCAAACAAGUUGCUAUACU